ACACUCUUAUUUUAAAGGUAAAAUUUAAGUCUCCAAAACUUUAAGAUAAAGGUUCAAGUCCUUUAGAGUGUG
Molecule: transfer RNA, 72 nt
Filed under: Nephromyces sp. ex Molgula occidentalis
Lineage: Eukaryota; Apicomplexa; Aconoidasida; Nephromycida
Description: tRNA-Trp
Rfam family: tRNA
About the family: Transfer RNA (tRNA) molecules are approximately 80 nucleotides in length.
Source: RNAcentral